RNAcentral lists this small nucleolar RNA (112 nucleotides) under Solanum tuberosum (potato). RNAcentral's name for it is "snoRNA Plant_U3". It matches the Rfam family "Plant small nucleolar RNA U3". Rfam says of the family: Small nucleolar RNAs (snoRNAs) are involved in the processing and modification of rRNA in the nucleolus. There are two main classes of snoRNAs: the box C/D class, and the box H/ACA class. U3 snoRNA is a member of the box C/D class. Lineage: Eukaryota; Viridiplantae; Streptophyta; Magnoliopsida; Solanales; Solanaceae. The record is from Rfam by way of RNAcentral.
ACGACCUUACUUGAACAGGAUCUGUUCUACAGGCUCGUACCACUGUAUCCUUGAUUUCUCAGGAGACACGAAAUCAAGUCUGGUGGAUGACUCGUGGCCAUUAGAUCAGACA